Molecule: ribosomal RNA, 301 nt
Filed under: uncultured bacterium
Lineage: Bacteria
Description: partial 16S ribosomal RNA
Rfam family: Bacterial small subunit ribosomal RNA
Source: RNAcentral
CAGUAGCCGCGGGAAUACGAAGGGUGCAAGCGUUACUCGGAAUUACUGGGCGUAAAGCGUGCGUAGGUGGUGGUUUAAGUCCGUUGUGAAAGCCCUGGGCUCAACCUGGGAAUUGCAGUGGAUACUGGGUCACUAGAGUGUGGUAGAGGAUAGUGGAAUUUCCGGUGUAGCAGUGAAAUGCGUAGAGAUCGGAAGGAACAUCUGUGGCGAAGGCGACUAUCUGGGCCAACACUGACACUGAGGCACGAAAGCGUGGGGAGCAAACAGGAUUAGAUACCCCUGUAGUCCUGUCUCUUAUACA